Molecule: ribosomal RNA, 488 nt
Filed under: uncultured bacterium
Lineage: Bacteria
Description: bacterial SSU rRNA
Rfam family: Bacterial small subunit ribosomal RNA
Source: RNAcentral
UAGUCCUAGCUGUAAACGAUGGGUACUGGGCAAUGGUCGUCCGAUGCGAUCGUUGUCGAAGCUAAUGUGCUAAGUACCCCGCCUGGGGAGUACGGCCGCAAGGCUGAAACUCAAAGGAGUUGACGGGGGCUCACACAAGCGGUGGAGCAUGUGGUUUAAUUCGAUGCAACGCGAAGAACCUUACCUGCCUUUGACAUUGACAGAACCCUCUAGAGAUAGAGGGGUGCCUUCGGGCCUGGAAAACAGGUGCUGCAUGGCUGUCGUCAGCUCGUGUCGUGAGAUGUUGGGUUAAGUCCCGUAACGAGCGCAACCCUUGUCCUUAGUUGCCAGCACUUCGGGUGGGAACUCUAAGGAGACUGCCGGUGACAAACCGGGAGGAAGGUGGGGAUGACGUCAAGUCAUCAUGGGCCCUUAUGGGGCAGGGGCUACACACGUGCUACAAUGGGGUCGGUACAGGAGGGGUAGCCAACCAGCAAUGGGGGAGCCAA